Long non-coding RNA from Oryza brachyantha (malo sina), 683 nucleotides. RefSeq lists it as uncharacterized. The record is from RefSeq and is a predicted model, not a curated record. The transcript is spliced from 3 exons. Lineage: Eukaryota; Viridiplantae; Streptophyta; Magnoliopsida; Poales; Poaceae.
CGACGUCAUGUGGUAGACGGUCUGCGUCGGCUGCUCCGAGUGCGCCGCCGUUGCCACCAUCAUGGCGUUCACCACCAUGUCCCCCGAUCGAGAUUGACGAGAAAGAAGGGCAACGCCUGCUUGGCGUAACCGAUGAUCACCGAGUCGAUCGUCCUGAACAAGGCGAUGGAAAUGUUCAGUGAUCCAUCAGCAUUUAGGGAAGGAACAAGAUGUCCUUGAUGAAGUUAUAUGUUUUUCGUGACCUGAUUCCUUCCGUCCAUCCCGGCAAUGGCUCCUUGAGGAUACUGGUUAUGAUGCUUGGGCGGAUGAUCACCACCGGGAGGUGACCGCGGAGGUGGCCGAGCAGCAUCUCCCCCAUUGCUUUGGUGAAAACAAUGGAAGAUACUGGUCGUAACAGACCAGCUGGAUUCAGACAAACUCCAGAUUUUCUACGGUGCAAGCUUCCAUGCAUUAUUUUUGUUGACGUGACAAUAGCAUUGGUGCACCUCAACUACGACAUGUACUCUUGUCUAUUUUGCGUUCCACUACUGUGUAUAAUUUCCGGAAUGCAUUUGUUAUUUUCCAAUUGCGUCUGACAGGUCAAUGUUAUAUCUAUUUGAAGUAACCCUGCAGUUUCCAAGGCAAAAUUGCUCAAAAAGAAUAUCUCAUCAGUCCUGGAGUAAACUUAUUAUCGUUGUGGAGUU